UUGGAGGGCAAGUCUGGUGCCAGCAGCCGCGGUAAUUCCAGCUCCAAUAGCGUAUAUUAAAGUUGUUGCAGUUAAAAAGCUCGUAGUUGAAUUUCGGGGUUAGUAGGUUGGUCAUGCCUCUGGUAUGUACUGGUCUCACUGAUUCCUCCUUCCUGAUGAGCCGUAAUGCCAUUAAUUUGGUGUUGCGAGGAAUCUGGACUGUUACUUUGAAAAAAUUAGAGUGUUUAAAGCAGGCUAACGCUUGAAUACAUUAGCAUGGAAUAAUGAAAUAGGACGUUCGAUCCUAUUUUGUUGGUUUCUAGGAUUGACGUAAUGAUUAAUAGGGAUAGUUGGGGGCGUUAGUAUUCAAUUGUCAGAGGUGAAAUUCUUGGAUUUAUUGAAGACUAACUACUGCGAAAGCAUUUGCCAAGGAUGUUUUCAUUAAUCAGGAACGAAAGUUAGGGGAUCGAAGACGAUCAGAUACCGUCGUAGUCUUAACCAUAAACUAUGCCGACUAGGGAUCGGAUGAUGUUAAUUUUUUAAUGACUCAUUCGGCGCCUUACGGGAAAC
This 549-nucleotide ribosomal RNA is filed under the name uncultured Glomus. RNAcentral's name for it is "SSU rRNA". It matches the Rfam family "Eukaryotic small subunit ribosomal RNA", at positions 548 to 1098 of the family's 1831-position model. Lineage: Eukaryota; Fungi; Glomeromycota; Glomeromycetes; Glomerales; Glomeraceae. The record is from RNAcentral.